UACAGUAGUUCAGGCUACCAGUUUGGUUGGGCCAUGCUUCAGUAGCCCAUUAUUCCUUUCACUCAGUAGAAUGGCCCCAGUUAUUCCUCUGAAAUUGGAAGUUAGAGUUUCACAGUAUCUCUAGCAGGAAAGAUUCCCUUACAUGGUUCCAGAUCUUUUACGUCUAGUAUUGGACUUGAUGAGCUACUUUACAAUUACAUUUCCUAAACUAGUUGGGUCAUGCUGCUGAGAGCUGUUUUCCAGAGCUAGUGGGUAUGGAGUUUUCUUCCAGGCUUCAGGGCAGGAAGUGGAUAAUAAAAAUAAAUUUAUAGAUGGCGCUAAGUGAGGUAGCCUAGACAACCAUAAAUAAGAAUAAUCAAACCAUCACGUUGUACUGGAGAAGACAGAAUAUUCCUCUAAUUGAAGGGUAGCUAUCAUAAUUUAAAAUUGUCAUCAUGAAGGAUUGUACUUUUUUUCUCCAAAAAAGGUUAAAGGCAAAUACCUAUUUUUUUUUUUUUUUUGGUUUCUUAUUGAUUCAAAUUCCCUUUCCACACUGCAAUCUUAGUAUAGAUUUCUGGAGCACGUGAUAAUAUAUUUUAAAGAGCUAUUCACAAUAAAUCUGUUAUGUUUUUGUACUUGUUUCAAGGGUGACAUGUAAAGUUAGUGGUUGCUCUACAGUAAGCAUCUGGUAGUGGAGCGGCAGUGCAGCAUGACAAGGACCUGGACUGCAGUGUCAGCCCUGGGAAUGUGCAGAAACGGAGAAUAGGAGAAAAUUCAAAGGGAGAACUGGAGUUCUUAGCUCUCCAUUGGCUUCUGGUUGGCAAAAGAGAUGAAAGAAUCAAAAUGUUCAUGGUUCCAAGCAAGUGUGACUGUGACCAUGCAGAAGUUACUCAAUUCUGUUUUAGGUAAAGAACAAGCACAAGUAGACAUGUGGCCUGUUUGGGCUUUGGGAAAGACAGGGGAUCAUCAGUUACCAAUGUAGAGUGAUGGAGAAGAAAAAAGGUGCUUGGAGAAGAGUGUAUGGAAAAAGAUUUAGGGAAUACUGGCAUCUUGGGAAAUGAGAAGAGAAAGAUUUGCAAAAGGGACAAAGAAGAGAAAAACUAGGAAAAUACAACAUCCACAGGAAGACUGUCUCUCAAAGGAUUGCAAUGGGAUAAAAGUAUUACAAAGAAAAGAAGUGAAAAUGUGUGAUGAUGUAGAAAGCCAGUAUAGAAGGCGAGGGGCCAGAACCUAGAAGAAAACUUUGCCAUCUAGGAGUGGACAGCAUCUGCAGUGCCAUGUGUUAGGAGGACAUCCAAUUUCACAGGAAACAUGAUGUCCUGGAAAAAAAGGCCAGAACAACCCAGCAACUAGGUGGUGUGCAGACAUAGCAAUCAGUUUUUCAAAAGGGACCCUGCAGGGUGAGGUGUGUCCCUGAAAGUAUCACUGUAUAACUGGGAUGGGGACUCCAGAAGAGAGGGUGAUAUUUAGAGAGCCUCGAAUGAAACCAGGGAUAUCUGGUUGGAAAGCAAUCUUGCAGUCUCUAAGAAAGAUGCUGAUAAGUGCAAAGCAGUUCUAAAGAGCUUGAGAUAAUGCACCAAAUGGUGCUUGCAGGGGAGAAGGGAGACAGAUUAGGGUGCAUAAUUGAUAAAUAAAUGGGCAAAGAGAGAGGGAGAAUGGUAGAUUAGGAAUCAACAGAGUAAAGCUAAACUUUUAUUUCUCCAAGCAGCUGGAGGUCUGUACAAAUAAAAAAGCCCCAGGAACCCCCUUCCCUGAGAAGGGGAAAGAUUAAAGUAAUUGAGAAUAACAAGAUCCUGGAGUUAUGGUAAAUAAAAGUUUAGGUUGGUUAAAAAAAAAGUUUGGAAUGGCAACAUUGGGAGCUAUGAUAAGGCAACAUUGAGAGAUAAAUAACACGAUGUCUUGACAACUGCAAAGGCCCUGAUAGAGUUCAGGCAUGAUCACGUAGAAGGCUACCUGGUGUGUGAGAUUGUGAGAAUUUCUCUAACAGUAGUGUGCAGGGUAAAUUUUAAAAAGCAGAUGGAGCCCUAACCCAAGGCUGGCAACUUUGUAGCCAAAGUAAAGGGAAUGAGAAAUUUUCUAGAAGUCACAUACACUGAACAUGUGUGACCUUGACCUUGGGCAAAUCGUAAACCCCUCUAAGCACCAACCAUCUGACAAAUGUGGAAAUAAGGAGACAAAGUGUUAAAGCUCCUUAUAUAAUUGCUGGGCAAAAAAAAAAAAGUAAUUUUUAUACUUUGUAACCAUAUAUAGUCUAUAGCCUCUUCAGAGGAGGAAAUGCUGCAAUAAUAGACACGUGAAAAAACAUGUGUUCAACGAACAAAUGAGUGAAUAAGUGAAUUAGCAUAACACUUAUUUAACAACAGCAUUGUAUUUGGUGCCAAGAUUAUAGAGCCAGAUAUUUCCUGUUGUGUGUACAAGUUCUCUGAGCUUGAACAAAAAGAUUUUUCUUCAGAAAUCAAGCCAUAUUUUAUAAUCUCUUUAUUUUUGAGUGUAUAGAUAAAAACACACUCUUAAAGCAGGAACUACUGCUUUGACACAUUUAAGUAAUAGGAUUAGAGAGCUGGAAGGACCUUUGGUGACCAACUCUAGUGCUAUCUUUUUUAGAUGGGAAAACAGCCUGCAAAAAUGUUAAGUAGCCUCCUCAGGAUCAAGUACUAUUGGAGCCAGCAUUGGUGGUCAAUCCUGUAUAGAAAUGACUUCAGUUGUAGAUCUGUGACCUUCCUUACUUACCUUCCUCUACCAAAGCCACUCAGUAAAUAUUGAAGACCUAUUAAGUAUAAAGAAGUGCAAGACAGCUUGAUGGAUUAGAACACGUAUGUAACAAACCCACUCCCAGGGAACAUGUACAAUCUUGUAUGAAAGUUGAGACAGAUACACUGAUGACUACCACACAGAGAAACCUAUGAGGUCUUCUGUUUGAAAUAUCUCAGAAGAAAAAAAAGAAAAGCCUACGUGUGUUUAUGUGGAGACACAUUCCAAAGAAGGGACAUGUGGCUGGUUAUACUCAAGGUGGUUAUGUUCAGUUAAUCUACCAAACUGGAUGAUAUGGGUCAGGACCCAGUUUUAGUUCAGAGAUCCUCAGUUUUAUUGUGUGCUUAGUCGUAUUACUCAAAUGAGUGAAAUUAGCUUUUGAUAGAGUCAGGGUACCACUUCAUGUGACCAAACAAAUGCACGAAGCCUGGAGAUGGCUGUGUUUGAGCACAGGCUUUGUCCUGCUCGCAGAUGUGCAACUGUGCAUCUAUGGACAGCAGUAGAGGGCUUCUAAGAAUACUGGUGGCAAAUAUGUCAGGAGUCCCUGGCCAAUACUGUUGAUGCGAAGCUAAGGUUCUAAACAGUUUUGGAUCACAGCCUCUUUCAGAAUCUCUACGUAUUUUAAAAACCUGUGAAGCGUGUCCUUAAACAGACAUGCACGUGUAUGUGCACAUAUGCAUGAUUACAUAAAUUUCCAGAAGUUCAUAAACCAAGGGGUUUAAGAACCUUAGUUAGGAAACUCGUGUAUAGGCACAUUACCUUAGAUAAAUUUGGUCAAAUCCUCCAGUGAAGAUAACUAAUGGUGCAGUUUCUGUGAAAACACACAGGACUCUGAAAAUGGAGCUACGGACCCAGUAAAGAGUUUGUACAACUCAGUGAGACUUCCUAAAUUCAUUGAUUUACAUACUCUACUAACCACCAUCAAUCUUGGCACACAAAUGACCAGAAUAUACAGAAUCUAUCUUUGCUUUAUUUGUUUUGUAAUGGUUCUUGAAUGCUUCUUUAAAGAAUAAAACUACUGGACAUAGAAAAUUCUUCAGCUUGUACAAUCAUUUAGGAUGGUGUAAUUCAGAUGAAGCAUUACAUGUGAAAAGGAAACUCAGUCAGAUGACAAGCAAAUUCUUGGCAUCCAACCCUGACCACCAAUGCAGAAUAUGACUAGGGAAUAACAUUUUUAGUAAAAGGUCACAGACAACACGAACUUAACACAUUUUUAUUCACCUGGUGGCAAAUAGAAAUGAAAUCCCAGAAGCUUGGUUCCUUGAAUAAAUAUUGCAGCAACUGACACAUCCAAAUAUAUUUAAUACAAACAGUCUCUCAUUGCAAGUGCUAUGUUUUUUCUGACCAUUACAUAUUUUUACUCAUUAUUUACACAGCUAAUGACUGUUUUAUAAUGUUAAACUCAACCUUCCAUUUUUCUGAAAUUAUGUUUAUAUAGUUAUUGGUUUGAUGGAAUAAUUAAAAUGCACUUAUGUGAGAUAUAAACUAAGUUUCCUUUUCCUGUCUUGUUUCUUAUAAUUUAAUCUGUAUUAGGUCAUUCAACUAGUAAUUGUUAUUCUAAUAAUUUCCCCUAUUUUCUUUUCUUUGAACUGGCUGACUAGCUAAAGUGUAUAAAAACAGUGACUCAUAGACAUGCAUUUUGAAGUAACCAAUAUAAAUAGGUACAUUCUGGUUAUAUCACAUUUUAGACAACUGCUUAGUCAAAUGAAAUGCAAAAAGAAAAACGGAAAGAAAAGUAUUUCAAAUACCUUGAAAUGUGUGCUUCAAGCUGACUCUCAGAAUAGGUGCACAUUUAUAUAGCUAUGUAAAAAAGAAGGGGAAAAACACAGAAAUUCCAAAAUAUUUUCAAACUGGCUUAGACAUCUUGACACUUUACUGUUUUCCUCUGCCAGGAGAGUAAAUGAGUGGUUUGCCCUCUGGGGAAAAAUCCAUUUAAAAGCGAAACUAUUUUAAAUGCAUACCUUUUUACAAGAAAGGAAAGAAUAGUUCUUAGUAGUGGGGGAGUGGGUAGGAUAUAUGUAUAUGGAAGGGCACAGUGAAAUGUAUUAGUAUAGGGUCUUGUUUACUUGUAAGUAUUUUCUUCCUUUUUGUCAUUCCUCACACAUUUACAUGGUUAGCACUGGUGAUACAAAGAAGAAAGAAA
Molecule: long non-coding RNA, 4873 nt
Organism: Pan troglodytes (chimpanzee)
Lineage: Eukaryota; Metazoa; Chordata; Mammalia; Primates; Hominidae
Exons: 3
Source: RefSeq, a predicted model, not a curated record